AGUGAACGCUGGCGGUAGGCCUAACACAUGCAAGUCGAACGGCAGCACAGUAAGAGCUUGCUCUUACGGGUGGCGAGUGGCGGACGGGUGAGGAAUACAUCGGAAUCUACUUUUUCGUGGGGGAUAACGUAGGGAAACUUACGCUAAUACCGCAUACGACCUACGGGUGAAAGCAGGGGAUCUUCGGACCUUGCGCGAUUGAAUGAGCCGAUGUCGGAUUAGCUAGUUGGCGGGGUAAAGGCCCACCAAGGCGACGAUCCGUAGCUGGUCUGAGAGGAUGAACAGCCACACUGGAAAUGAGAAACGGUCCAAAAUCCUACGGGAGGCAGGAGGGGGGAAUAUUGGACAAUGGGCGCAAGCCUGAUCCCGCCAUACCGCGGGGGUGAAGAAGGCCUUCGGGUUGUAAAGCCCUUUUGUUGGGAAAGAAAAGCAGCAGGUUAAUACCCCGCUGUUCUGACGGUACCCAAAGAAUAAGCACCGGCUAACUUCGUG
RNAcentral lists this ribosomal RNA (492 nucleotides) under uncultured bacterium. Its description in RNAcentral is "partial 16S ribosomal RNA". It matches the Rfam family "Bacterial small subunit ribosomal RNA", at positions 29 to 507 of the family's 1533-position model. The record is from RNAcentral.